This 68-nucleotide transfer RNA is filed under the name Toxocara canis (dog roundworm). It matches the Rfam family "tRNA". Rfam says of the family: Transfer RNA (tRNA) molecules are approximately 80 nucleotides in length. Their secondary structure includes four short double-helical elements and three loops (D, anti-codon, and T loops). The record is from Rfam by way of RNAcentral. Lineage: Eukaryota; Metazoa; Nematoda; Chromadorea; Rhabditida; Toxocaridae.
GCAGUAGCUUAGUGGUAGAGCACCCGCUUCAUGUGCGGGAAGAUCUGGGUUCGUCGAUUGCCGGCUGC